AACAAUAGCCAGCUACAAAUGAUGGGGCUUAUGAAUGACACCAGGGUGCUGUGUUGGAUAGCUAUUAUUCUCAUGUCCAUCACUUCCUUGAACUGCCAUGCUGCUGCCAUGAGCACACAUACAAUGGACUUUGGACCUAUUCUUGCGUGUGUAAAGACGGAAACAAAAUGUUCGGUUGUUGGGUGCACGAAGAUAUGUUCCGACCUUGGCUGGAAUACCCACAGAUGCUAUUGUGCCGAUGCUGGCAGUUGCUGCCACUAUGCGGAUGGAAGGCCAUUAAAUUGAUAGUAUAAUGUAUUGUCAUGAGCUCUUCUUUUACAAGGGUGAAUGUCAAUCAUCUAUGCCACUACCGAUCAUAGAUUUAAUAAACUUCUAAAGUAUGCAGUAUGAUUAUAUUUA
Molecule: long non-coding RNA, 399 nt
Organism: Triticum dicoccoides
Lineage: Eukaryota; Viridiplantae; Streptophyta; Magnoliopsida; Poales; Poaceae
Exons: 2
Source: RefSeq, a predicted model, not a curated record